This 886-nucleotide ribosomal RNA is filed under the name Acinetobacter baumannii. Its description in RNAcentral is "bacterial LSU rRNA". It matches the Rfam family "Bacterial large subunit ribosomal RNA", at positions 1270 to 2141 of the family's 2925-position model. The record is from RNAcentral. Lineage: Bacteria; Pseudomonadati; Pseudomonadota; Gammaproteobacteria; Moraxellales; Moraxellaceae.
AUGCUGGAGGUAUCAGAAGUGCGAAUGCUGACGUGAGUAACGACAAAACGGGUGAAAAACCCGUUCGCCGAAAGACCAAGGGUUCCAGUCCAACGUUAAUCGGGGCUGGGUGAGUCGACCCCUAAGGCGAGGCCGAAAGGCGUAGUCGAUGGGAAAAUGGUUAAUAUUCCAUUACUUCUGUGUAAUGCGAUGAGAGGACGGAGAAGGCUAAAUCAGCCUGGCGUUGGUUGUCCAGGUGAAAGGAUGUAGGCAUGUAUCUUAGGCAAAUCCGGGGUACUCUAUGCUGAGAUCUGAUAGCAAGCUGUACUUGUACAGCGAAGUGGUUGAUGCCAUGCUUCCAGGAAAAGUCUCUAAGCUUCAGUUACACAGGAAUCGUACCCGAAACCGACACAGGUGGUCAGGUCGAGUAGACCAAGGCGCUUGAGAGAACUCUGCUGAAGGAACUAGGCAAAAUGGUACCGUAACUUCGGGAGAAGGUACGCUGUUGUUGGUGAUGGAACUCGCUUCCUGAGCUGACGACAGCCGCAGAAACCAGGCCGCUGCAACUGUUUAUUAAAAACAUAGCACUCUGCAAACACGAAAGUGGACGUAUAGGGUGUGAUGCCUGCCCGGUGCUGGAAGGUUAAUUGAUGGGGUAGCGUAAGCGAAGCUCUUGAUCGAAGCCCCAGUAAACGGCGGCCGUAACUAUAACGGUCCUAAGGUAGCGAAAUUCCUUGUCGGGUAAGUUCCGACCUGCACGAAUGGCAUAAUGAUGGCGGCGCUGUCUCCAGCAGAGGCUCAGUGAAAUCGAAAUCGCUGUGAAGAUGCAGUGUACCCGCGGCUAGACGGAAAGACCCCGUGAACCUUUACUGCAGCUUGACACUGAACUUUGACCUUACUUGUGUAG